ACACUGCCGUUUUCCGACAAAGACAUUAACAGUGAUAGAGGAGAGGGAAGUAGCGCAAAAUCUCCAACGUCCAUGGCUAGUCUCUCAAGCUUAGUGCGCGAACUUCGAGAUAGAAUAGCAGAUUCUUCAUCAACACCUACAAACAAUGGCGACGAUCUCACUCUAGAGAAAAAAUUUCGCGCCGUACUUCCCAGUCUUAUCAGCACAUACGUUGUUGCAUCUCCUUCUGCUAAUAAAAGAGAAGUAAUUGCAGUAUUAAAGCUACUAAAUCAUAUAACGAAGAAUUUUCCUGGGGUUUUUUAUAAUGGAAAAGUUAACGCUGUCUUGCCCGUUAUUGGUCGCCUCUUGCCGUUCUUCGCCGAACCGACAUUUCGGGGCCGACAUGGAGUGAUCCUUGAAACUAUUGGCUCUCUUCUAGCUUUGCUUCGAAGUGGGGAUCGAGAUGCAUAUCGACAAUUUUUCAUGGAUUCCAUGUAUUUAAUUGAAGAUCUUGAGUAUGUAGCAUCAUUGUACCCAAGCAAAUCAAGCAUGAAAAAAUCUGAUAAAGUGUCUUUAAAAUGCUAUUCAAAGUCAUUUGCCGAUAUAUCUGAUGGUGGAGCACUGCUGAGUGAUCUUCCAGAUUGUAAUAAACCUCAAGACGGUUAUGGCAUUUUGAUUGAUCUCACGGUAAAAGAGAGAUGGAAAUUUUUUUCUACUUGGAUAAUUUGGCUCUUAAGUAAAUGCAUGACCGAGGGUACUCUUUAUGUGAAAGGGCUUGUGACCUCUUCUUUUAUUUUGGUUGCAUGCUCCAUGCUUUGUUGUGAAGAUGCCGAUUUGCUUAUGGCAUGUUUUGACCUUGCCCGAGUUGCUGCAACAGUAGUGAAUUAUGAGAUAAUUCCGUAUGAAAAAUUAAUUUAUUCCAUAAUAUAUAUAUUAAGUGAAGCUGAAGGAAAUCUACCAGUAUUCAGAAACUUGGAGUUUGAUUCCACAAUUGGUAGUUGUCUUGAUGCUUUACAUUCAAGGUGUCCCACUGACAUUGUUAGAUUGACAGCUGCUGAAUUAGUUUCUGAGUUCUUUGACUCUUUGACAAAAUCAAAAAGUUCUGAGUUACAGGUUGCCUUGUGUAAUGCAUAUGUCCGGAUCUGUAGAUCUUGUCCUCCUCAUGUCUGGAAACCGGAAGCUCUAUUAAAUAUGAUUUGUUCCUUGAGCACUUGCUCAAUUUUGCAAGAUUGCUUAGAGGUGGCUAUUUUUAUUCUUGGUCCCAAUAGAGUUGGAGGAGGCACCAUUAGUACUACUUCAAGUAACUCAGCCACUCCUGACAAAGGAGCAUAUAGGGUCAGACUAGAGUGUAAAAGAAAAGCAUCAGAUAUAGGAACUUCCAAGUCAAAGCGUCACAAAAUAUAUGGGGAAGAGUUCACAUCUGAUUUUGAUGGGAAGAGACCAGAUGAGUUUGGCCAACUGAAUAUUGAGUCAAUUGAAAAAUAUGCUUCUGAUAUGUGCAAUUCAUUUCUCUCAGCUGUUGAAUUUUUGAAACCUUCAAGUGUUGGUACAAAACCUAUAAGAGACGAACUUGCUCUAGCAACUCUUAGCAUGCUUUGUGUGGUCUUCUGUAAAUACCCGAACACCAACUUAUCAGUACGGAUCUUUGAGCUGAUAUACUCGUGGAUCCCCUGGAUCUGCCAGCAGGCAAAGCAGGAGAAGUCUAUCCAGUUUGACUUGUCAAGCUAUCUGGAAGCAUUACACAAAACUUUGUUGUUGCCAACUCCAUUUUCUGGAAAUGUGGUACGCUUCUGCAGUGACAAUGCAAACAUGGAUCUCAUAUUUUCUGUGCUUGAGCUUCCAUGGACUCAUUCUCUUGAGGUCAUUGAAACCCAUCAGUCUUGGAGAUCAAAGUGCCUUUCUAUUCAAGUAUUGUCCAAGAUUGCUCCUAACUCGGAGCUUCAACUUCAUGUUUUGAAUUUGGGUCUUCUCGAUGAGGUAGAAGAAGUUCGAAUUGAAGCUGUCAUGUCCAUGCCAAUAAUUGCCCUGUCUUCUGGUUUACGUGCAUACUCAACUGUUAUAUCAUGGCUCAAGUUUCUUGAGAAGGAGAGGCAUGAGAAUGUCAGAAAAGUAAUUCCACUUGCUCUAGGCUAUUUAUCAUGCCUGCAGAAAUAUUGUCAUAUUUCCGACAACGGAAGUGAGACUGACUGCAAAAUAUUCUUUGAUAGUGAUGGAAAGCACAACGCCUUGCUUGAUUCUUUGUUGCGCGGCUUUUGGUGUUCAAAGUGUGACAAAGCUGUUUGUGCUGAUUCUUGGAAUUCAUUAGUUAUGCAUGUCCCAGAAAACAUAUGCAUAGAAGACAUUGCUGACAGUGUCUUUAGCUACAUACAUCAAUUGUUCUUUAGUUUUCUUUUUGACGAGUCUUUGGAAGAGGUCCAAGUUUCCUGUAUUGAAGUACUUCACCGAAUUAUCCUACACGCAGAGAGGAAAGUUCUGCUAGAAACAAGAUCUCAAUGGCUCAAAUGUAUAGAAUUCUUUCUCCUUCAUAAAAAGAGAUCUUUGAGGGAAGCAUUCUGUUCCCAAAUUAGCUUUCUCUUGGAUGAAAAUGUGUUAAUGUGUUUGUUUCCUGAAAGGGAUUCACCAAAUACAAGUAAAAGGCAGAUGUUUCUCAGCAUAAUGGAGAAAGCUCUAAAAAAAACUGAAGACCCUCAAAUUGUUGAAACUUUAUUGGAGUCUGCAGCUGAGGUUAUGGUAGCAAUUGAUAUAAAUUGUCAGCUCUUCUUCUCGUCACUUAUUUUGUUAAUUGACAAGCUUGACAGCCCUCAUCUGACUGUUAGAGUGACUGCUGCGAGAUUAAUUAAUCGAUUUUGCUUCUUCCAUGUUCAAGGAGAUUUCAAAUUGCUUCUUUCUAAGUUCAUUCAUAUUCGAAAUAAACUUUUCGAUUAUCUUUGCCUAAGGCUUUUAAGUCAUUCAAGACUGGUAAGGGAGUUCGCUGAGGCUGUUCUUGCUAUUCAGGUCAAAGAACUGGUCCUUGAAAUGAUUCCAGUUGUGCUGCCAAAGGUUGUUGUCUCUCUAAAUAAUAAUGAACAAUCAGUUGCCAUUUUGGAGAAGCUUGCUGAAUAUUUAGACAAAGACAAAGGCGAAGAUGAAGACAAAGGAAUGCUAGUAAUGACUGUCAAAUAUAUACCUAAAGUGUUGGCUUAUGCUCUACAGCAAUCUGAUGACAAACAAUUACUCUCCGCAUUGCAAUUUUACCAUACAGAGACAGGAUCAAACAAGAAAGAAAUUUUUGCUGUUGCAUUAUCCGAAUUGUUGGAAGAUUUGGUGUGCUUUGUGGAUGGAAACGACCCAGAUGAGGUUAGCCCUAGAUUGGAAAAAGUACCACAGAUGAUUGAAGAAGUUGCAAAAAUUCUUACUGAUCGUGAAGAUCUACCUGGAUUUUUGAAGCCUCAUUUUGUUCGCCUUCUUAAUAGCAUUGAUAAGAAAAUGCUGCAUGCAAAGGAUGUCUCAGUCUCUUGGCAGAAGCAAGCUAUUAAAAGAAUCGAAAUGUUGAUAAAAUUUAUGGGUCCUCACCUUAGUACCUAUGUACCAAAACUUAUGGUGCUUCUCAUGCAUGCUAUUGAGGAUGAAUCCCUGCGUAGCGAAGGUCUUUCUGUGCUACAUUUUUUUGUCAAGCAACUGGCAAUUCUGUCCCCAUCUAGUGCCAAGCAUAUAAUAUUUCAAGUGUUUGCUGCUCUCAUCCCAUUUUUAGAGAAAGAAAAGGAUGAGCCUUCUAUGCAUUUAGAUAAAAUUGUUGAUAUCCUGGAAGAGCUUGUGUGUGAAAACAAGGUUGUGCUAAAGCAGCAUAUAUGUGAAUUUCCUAUGCUGCCCAGCAUUCCUGCAUUAAUAAAGGUAAAUCAAGUGAUACAAGAAGCGCGAGGGUCAAUGACUUUGAAGGAUCAAUUGCAAGAUGCUGCUGAGGGCUUGAAUCAUGAAAAUUUAAACGUAAGGUAUAUGGUUGCCUGUGGGCUGAACAAGCUGCUGAACCUUAGGAAGGAAGAUGUGGCAGCAGCAAUUGGUACUGAAAUGGCUUUAGAUAUUACUGCUUUAAGCUCUCUUAUUAUGUCUUUACUUAGAGGAUGUGCUGAGGAAUCACGGACUUCUGUUGGGCAAAGGUUGAAAAUGGUAUGUGCUGACUGUCUUGGAGCUCUAGGUGCUGUUGAUCCUGCUAAGCUAAAGGCAGCAUCGUGUCAAAGAUUUAAGAUCCAGUGCUCUGAUGAUGAUUUGAUUUUCGAAUUGAUCCAUAAGCACCUUGCCAGGGCAUUUAGAGCUGCGCCCAAUAUUACUAUUCAAGACUCUGCUGCAGUGGCUAUACAAGAGCUGUUAAAAGUUGCUGGAGCCUCUGUUGAACAUAAUUUGAAGCUUGAUGCACUGGGGUCCGAAAGCUUUAAUGACUCUCAAGCGAUGAGUGAAAGGGGUCGACGGCUGUGGGACCGUUUUUCUAAUUACGUUAAGGAGAUCAUAGCACCAUGCUUAACUUCCAAAUUCUCUCUUCCGGAUGUAUCAUAUUCUACAUCUUCUGGUGCUAUAUACCGACCUUCGUUGUCAUUCAGGAGAUGGAUCUUUCAAUGGAUAAGAAAACUCAUUGUAGAUGCUACUGGAUCUCGUGCUAGGAUUUUCAAAGCUUGUCGUCGCAUAGUGCGUGAUGAUAUGCAAACAGCAAUAUACCUGCUCCCUUAUUUAGUUCUUCAUGUUGUUUGCCAUGGCUCUGAGUCAGCUCGUUAUAGUGUUACAGAAGAGAUAUUGGCUGUCCUCAAUGCAGCUGCCUCGGAGAAUAGUGGUGCGGCAGUUCAUGCAAUCGGUGGUGGGCAAGGUGAGGUUUGCAUUCAAGCUGUAUUCACUCUUCUGGAUAAUAUUGGGCAGUGGGUUGAUGAUGUGGACCAGGAAAUAGCACUUUCUCAGUCACCUUCAUCUUCGUCUUCUAAACCAGCAUCUAAGUUCAACAACACUGCAGUUGAUAAAGAUCAACUUCGUUUGCAAUGCAAAUAUGUUUCUGAGCUUUUGGAUGCAAUUCCUAGGGUUACUCUGGCUAGGGCUUCCUUUAGGUGUCAGGCUUAUGCUAGAGCACUAAUGUACUUCGAAUCUCAUGUUCGGGGAGAAUCAGGUUCCUUCAAUCCAGCUGGUGAAAUGAAUGGAAACUUUGAGGAUGAAGACGUCUCGUUUUUGAUGAAAAUUUAUAGUGCUAUGGAUGAGCCUGAUGGUCUAUCAGGAUUGGCAAGCUUAAGAAAGUCAGUAAGCUUACAAGAUCAGCUGUUAAUAAAUAAGAAAGCUGGAAACUGGGCAGAGGUCCUAACUUCCUGUGAACAAGCAUUGCAGAUGGAACCCACCUCUGUCCAAAGGCAUUCAGAUGUACUUAACUGCUUACUUAAUAUGUGCCACCUACAGACUAUGAUUACCCAUGUCGAUGGCCUGGUAUCUAGAAUUCCUGAAAACAAGAAAACAUGGUGCAUGCAAGGAGUGCAGGCAGCCUGGAGGCUUGGCAGGUGGGACCUGAUGGAUGAAUAUCUAAAUGGAACUCAUAAGGAAGACUUACAAUGUAGUAUAUCUGAUAGCAGUGCUUCAUUUGAUGUGGAUGUUGCUAAAAUUUUUCAGGCAAUUAUUAAAAAAGACCAGUUCGCAGUUGCUGAGAAAAUUGCGUUAUCAAAGCAGGCUCUGAUUGCUCCAUUAGCUGCUGCUGGCAUGGACUCCUAUGCACGGGCUUAUCCUUUUGUUGUAAAGCUCCAUCUGUUGAAAGAAUUGGAAGAAUUUCAUGAUCUACUUGACGGCCACUCUUUCUUAGAAAAAAGUUUUCAUCUUGGAGACCCAAAGUUCUUGAGAAUCAUAGGAAAUUGGGAGAAUAGGCUAAGAUUCACGCAACCAUCUCUCUGGGCAAGGGAGCCACUUUUAGCAUUCCGGAGACUUGUUUUUGGGGCUAGUGAUCUGGGUGCACAAGUUGGAGACUGCUGGCUGCAAUAUGCUAAACUCUGUCGCUCUGCUGGUCAUUAUGAGACAGCUAAUCUAGCUAUUCUUGAGGCAAAGUCUUCUGGUGCACCUAAUGUACAUGUGGAGAAGGCUAAGCUUCUGUGGAGCAUGAAGCGGUCUGAGGGUGCAAUUGCUGAAUUGCAACAGUCUCUCUUAAACAUGCCCACUGGAGUUGUUGGACCUGCUGCAAUGUCAUCUAUAACUAGCCUUGCUUCGAUUCCACCUCCACAACCGGUCAAUGUUGACUCUCAAGCUCCAAAUGAGAAUCCUGAUAUUGCAAAGACCCUUCUUUUGUACUCAAGAUGGAUCCAUUACACUGGACAAAAGCAGAAAGAAGAUGUUAUGAGCCUGUAUUCCAGGGUGAGGGAACUGCAACCUAAGUGGGAGAACGGGUACUUCUAUGUUGCUAAAUAUUGUGAUGAAGUACUUGUUGAUGCUAAAAAACGUCAGGUGGAGAAUGUUGAGACCAAUUCGAGGAUACCACCUGCUGCUGCUGUUAUCUCAAAUAAUUUGAACACAGAGAAGCCUUGGUGGGUUUAUCUUCCUGAAACACUUCUAUUUUAUGCUAAAGGCCUACACAGAGGUCAUAAGAAUCUUUUCCAAGCCCUUCCAAGAUUGCUGACUCUUUGGUUUGACUUCGGUAGUAAAUAUCAACAAAGUGGCUCUAAAAAUAAGGAUCUAAAGACAGUUCAUGGGAAGGUUUUGAGUAUCAUGCGAGGUUGUUUAAAUGAUUUGCCAACUUAUCAAUGGUUGACUGUUCUGCCACAAUUAGUCUCUAGAAUCUGCCACCAAAAUGAUGAAACUGUUCGACUGGUCAAGCACAUUAUUACGUCUGUACUCCGGCAGUAUCCUCAGCAGGCUUUAUGGCUCAUGGCUGCAGUUUCUAAAUCUGCUGUUCCCAUAAGGAGACAAGCAGUGGCAGAGAUCUUGCAAGCUGCGCGCAAGGGGUCCAAUCCAGACAGUAGUCAUAGUGACUUGUUUUCUCAGUUUGCUAGCCUUAUUGAUCAUCUGAUUAGGUUGUGCUUUCAUGCUGGCCAAUCAAAAGCAAGGAAGAUCAAUAUUCUCACUGAAUUUAGCUCCCUAAAGAGAAUGAUGCCUCUAGGAAUUAUUAUGCCCAUCCAGCAGUCUCUCACUGUUAACUUGCCGACUUGUGAUUCAAAAUUGAAAGACUCAUCUUAUAUCUUUUCGGAUAUUGACCUUCCAACAAUUGUAGGAAUAGCCGAUGAAGCAGAAAUUCUUUCAUCUCUUCAACGUCCCAAAAAAGUUAUUCUUAUUGGAAGCGAUGGCAUCGAGCGUGCAUUCCUUUGUAAACCUAAAGAUGAUCUACGAAAGGAUGCACGUAUGAUGGAAUUCAACGCUAUGAUAAAUCGUCUCCUAUCUAAAUGUGCUGAAAGCCGUCGUAGAAAACUCUAUAUUCGCACUUUUGCUGUUGUUCCUUUAACUGAGGAUUGUGGUAUGGUGGAAUGGGUGCCACACACUCGUGGGCUCCGGCACAUUCUUCAAGAUAUCUACAUAACAUGUGGAAGAUUUGACAGACAGAGGACGAAUCCUCAAAUUAAGCGGAUAUAUGAUCAGUGCCAAGGGAAAAUGCCAGAAGAUGAGAUGUUAAAGACCAAAAUUCUUCCAAUGUUUCCCCCCGUUUUCCACAAAUGGUUUUUAAAUACUUUUGCUGAGCCUGCUGCUUGGUUCAGAGCCAGGGUUGCUUAUGCACACACUACUGCAGUGUGGUCUAUGGUUGGGCAUAUUGUAGGCCUUGGAGAUCGGCAUGGCGAAAACAUUCUUUUUGAUUCCACUACUGGGGACUGUGUGCAUGUUGACUUUAGUUGCUUAUUUGACAAAGGUUUGCUGUUGGAGAAGCCAGAGCUUGUGCCUUUUAGGUUAACUCAGAAUAUGAUUGAUGGAUUGGGCAUUACUGGAUAUGAGGGAAUUUUUCUCAAGGUUUGUGAGAUCACUCUUUCGGUUCUCAGGAGUCACAGGGAGACUUUAAUGAGUGUUCUUGAAACAUUUAUCCACGAUCCUCUUGUUGAGUGGACAAAAUCUCAUAAAUCAAGUGGAGUAGAAGUUCAGAAUCCACACGCCCAGCGUGCUAUCAGUAAUAUUGAAGCAAGACUGCAAGGGAUUGUAGUUGGGGUUGCUGCAGCACCAUCUCUGCCUUUAGCUGUGGAGGGCCAAGCUCGUCGGUUGAUUACCGAGGCAAUUUCUCAUAAAAACCUCGGGAAAAUGUAUAUAUGGUGGAUGCCUUGGUUUUAAUCUCAUUACGAACUCCUUGGCAGUUCCUCUCAUGUCUACUGAUCGUGGAGACUUUUGAUGGUUAAUUCUCUUUUUAUUAAAUGUGAUGUGAUACUCCAUCAUGAUUCAUAUCACAGCCAUCGUAACAUUGUACUGCUAGUUUGCUACAUCGGGAUAACUGAUUCCCCAUACUGAUUUGUGUAAUGUCCUAAAUUUCCUGGGAUACAACCUAGUUCUGUCACGGAGGCUACUUUCUUCAACAUAACCCCUGGCAUGGAGUAUUACACCUUAAAGUAGUUUCUCAGAAAUAUAUGUAUGUACAGGUAAAUGAGUACCACCUUUAGAGGGAGGAUGGCUCUUUGAGAGAAUGAAGCGUCUUGCAAUCUGUGAUUGUUGCAGAAGGUUCAUUUUGUUGCGAAAGCAGGUGACCAAUGUUAUACAAUGACAACUUUUCUUAGACCUAUCUCAGCGGGCAUCAUUUCUCAGUUAUGAAGUGCCAAAUGCCAACUUCAUUCUCAUGCUCUAAUGUUCUCCAAAAGUUUCUGCAUUUUCCUGCAUUCUAAUCAUUGAUCUCGUGAGAAAGAUUAUAUUUAUAGAGGGCUAUACGGGUAAAAUUGCCAACCUGCUUGGAUAACUGCUGAUCGGAAAUAGUGUAAAAGUUGAGUGAAGAUAGUACCUGGCUGCUUGCUUGGAUAACCUCUAUGUCAUGGAACACAAUUGCUGGUGUCUUUGAGCAAUAUUGUACGGUGUGUCGCUAAGGUAACAUGAAAAUUGAGGCAAUACACUUGAAAGGUACUUGGUUCUUUACAAGUAAUCCGUCUUUCCAUUGGGAUUCGUCUUCACAUCGGAAAAGCAACUGGUAAUUGACAUUUGAGGUGUAACCCUAGUCAGGCAGUAUAAACAUUGAAUCGCUGUCCUUGUAGACUGUAAUUUUGAAGAUGGUGCAAUGAGCUAUUCAUGAUUUAUGUGUCAAAUUGUAAUCAGUUAUUUUCAGAUUGAAUAUCACGUCAGGAUGUUUGUCAGUUGCAUUGUUGUAACUAGGAAAAUGAAAUAGGGUUAAACGUUAGUUUACACCUUACCUACGACAAUUCUUGGUUUGACACUCUUAUGUAUGACAAAAGUCUUCAACAGACGCUGAAGGCAACUGGGUGGAAAUGUAGACGUUUGUAGAGGAGAAUUGAGUUUGAGAUUAGCAAAGUGUUGAAACUUGAGAUUGUUUAUUACAAGAGACGUCUAAAGUUUGGACUGGCCCAAUUUAUAAAUUAAAAAAAAAAAAGAAAUAGCUGAAUUUUGUGAUUGUCACACGCUAUUCUUAACUUUUCAACUUUUAUUUUCAGUUUUCAUUUUAUUUUUUUUGACAUAAACCACUCAUGGUCCUCUCUCAAACUCUAUUUGUGGUUUUCAAUCUUCAUCUUUCUCUUAUAAAUUCCAUUGUCGUUUAUUCUCUAUUUAUCUUUUUUUUC
RNA transcript from Amaranthus tricolor (Joseph's coat), 9650 nucleotides. It is a transcript of the gene named serine/threonine-protein kinase ATR, with no coding region annotated. The record is from RefSeq and is a predicted model, not a curated record. The transcript has 17 exons. NCBI's taxonomy places the organism in Eukaryota, Viridiplantae, Streptophyta, Magnoliopsida, Caryophyllales, Amaranthaceae.